Molecule: ribosomal RNA, 629 nt
Filed under: uncultured bacterium
Lineage: Bacteria
Description: bacterial SSU rRNA
Rfam family: Bacterial small subunit ribosomal RNA
Source: RNAcentral
CUUCGGGUCUAGCGGCGGACGGGUUAGUAACGCGUGGGAACGUACCCUUCUCUACGGAACAGUCCCGGGAAACUGGGUUUAAUACCGUAUACGCCCUUUUGGGGAAAGAUUUAUCGGAGAAGGAUCGGCCCGCGUUGGAUUAGGUAGUUGGUGGGGUAAUGGCCUACCAAGCCUACGAUCCAUAGCUGGUUUGAGAGGAUGAUCAGCAACACUGGGACUGAGACACGGCCCAGACUCCUACGGGAGGCAGCAGUGGGGAAUCUUCGGCAAUGGGCGCAAGCCUGACCGAGCCAUGCCGCGUGAGCGAUGAAGGCCUUAGGGUUGUAAAGCUCUUUCGCCAGGGAUGAUAAUGACAGUACCUGGUAAAGAAACCCCGGCUAACUCCGUGCCAGCAGCCGCGGUAAUACGGAGGGGGUUAGCGUUGUUCGGAAUUACUGGGCGUAAAGCGCGCGUAGGCGGAUUGGAAAGUUGGGGGUGAAAUCCCGGGGCUCAACCCCGGAACUGCCUCCAAAACUCCCAGUCUUGAGUUCGAGAGAGGUGAGUGGAACUCCGAGUGUAGAGGUGAAAUUCGUAGAUAUUCGGAAGAACACCAGUGGCGAAGGCGGCUCACUGGCUCGAUACUGACGCUG